GACGACGAGGUAGAUAGGUUGGAGGUGGAAGUGCAGCAAUGCAUGGAGCUGACCAAUACUAAUCGGUCGAGGGCUUAUCCAAUAA
This 85-nucleotide ribosomal RNA is filed under the name Paenibacillus rhizosphaerae. Its description in RNAcentral is "partial 23S ribosomal RNA". It matches the Rfam family "Bacterial large subunit ribosomal RNA", at positions 2843 to 2925 of the family's 2925-position model. Lineage: Bacteria; Bacillati; Bacillota; Bacilli; Caryophanales; Paenibacillaceae. The record is from RNAcentral.